RNAcentral lists this ribosomal RNA (492 nucleotides) under uncultured bacterium. Its description in RNAcentral is "partial 16S ribosomal RNA". It matches the Rfam family "Bacterial small subunit ribosomal RNA", at positions 29 to 507 of the family's 1533-position model. The record is from RNAcentral.
AGUGAACGCUGGCGGUAGGCCUAACACAUGCAAGUCGAACGGCAGCACAGUAAGAGCUUGCUCUUACGGGUUGCGAGUGGCGGACGUGUGAGGAAUACAUCGGAAUCUACUUUUUCGUGUGGGUUAACGUAGCGAAACUUACGCUAAUACCGCAUACCACCUACGGGUGAAAGCAGUGGAUCUUCUGAGCUUGCGGGAUUGGAUGAGCCGAUGGCGGGUUGGCUAGUUGGCGGGGUAAAGGCCCAGCAAGGCGACGAUCCGUAGCUGGUCUGAGAGGAUGGUCGGCCACACUGGAACUGGGACACGGUCCAGGGUCCUACGGGAGGGACCAGUGGGGAAUAUUGGACAAUGGGCGGAAACCUGGUCCAGCCAUACCGAGUGGGUGACGAAGGCGUUGGGGUUGUAAAGCCCUUUUGUUGGGAAAGAACAGCAGCAGGUUAAUACCACGCUGUUCUGACGGUAACCAAAGAAUAAGCACCGGCUAACUUCGUG